Molecule: ribosomal RNA, 834 nt
Filed under: Triticum aestivum (bread wheat)
Lineage: Eukaryota; Viridiplantae; Streptophyta; Magnoliopsida; Poales; Poaceae
Description: partial small subunit ribosomal RNA
Source: RNAcentral
AUGGGACGUACCGCGGUCAAUCCUAUUUGGGCGAGGAUUUGGAAGCUUGCUUGUCCACGAAAGGUUAAAAUAUUUAUUUGGCGUACACUUCACGGCACUAUUCCGUGUCGUGUUAACUUAGCUAAUAGACAUGUGAAAGUCUCGCCUAAGUGUCCUGUCUGCUCAUCUGGGCCAGAAGACACAAAACACUUGUUGUUUCUAUGUGACAGAGCAAAAGAAGUCUGGAGAAGACUAGGGAUGGACGAUAUUAUCGGCAGAGCUUGUAAAAUAGACUAUGCGGGUGAGGCAAUCUUGGAAUAUUUACUUCCAUUACCAGAUCAGGAACUAUGUAUUAUGGGCACUCGUAAUGUGCGUGACAUGAUUGCCAUAUCAGCCUGGUACUUGUGGUGGGAAAGGCGCAAAUUGGUACACAAUGAGACUACUCAGAAUGCACAACAGAUAUCCAUGGGGAUACGCGCUCUCGCUGCCAAUUUUGUUAAUGCCUCCUCGCCGAAGGCUUCCAUUAAAAGAGGAGGAUGGUCUAAUCCCCCGGCGGGAUUUGUUAAACUUAUUGUUGAUGCUUCUUUUGAUCACGACCUUCUCAGGGGUACGAUCGGGGCUGUCUUAAGAGAUGACAAAGGUAGGUUCAUCGGUGGGGGAAAUGAUAAGAUUUACUGGUGUGCAGAUGUGUUGAUGGCUGAAGUUUUGGCGUUAAAAUUUAGCCUAUCGCUUGCGCAAAGGACGGGUUGUAAUCGCAUAAUUAUUAACUCGGAUAAUAUGGAGGUGAUCGAGACCAUGAACGAAGGAGGACGAUCGUCGGGGGUUCGAAUCCCUCUCUCUCCUUUUGCUUAUUGA